Molecule: long non-coding RNA, 1743 nt
Organism: Equus caballus (horse)
Lineage: Eukaryota; Metazoa; Chordata; Mammalia; Perissodactyla; Equidae
Source: Ensembl
AGCGUGCCAGAGGUUCGGGUGCACCAGAAGUGAGCGAUGUAACUCACGCCCAUCCGCUGACUGCUGCUCGGGAGGCCCCACCUGGCUCUAGGCCUUGGGGAGGAAGCCGAGCCUGCCGAGGAAUGGGCGCUGGUCCGGUGGGAGUCCGAGAGCAGCCACGCGUGGCUCUGGACAGCGACGCCCGGGUCCCAGGUGCAGUCCCCUCCUUUCCUAUCUAGGUCCACGCUCUGGAUAGAGGGCUGGGGGCGUCAGGAGGGGAGCGACAGCCUCUGGCCCUACUUGGCGUGGGUCUGCCGCUGAAGGUCAGGGGUCCGGGUGGGCCCUUGUUGUCCGGCCGCAAGGCGAAGACAGCCGGGCGGCCAGUUUCCUCCUGGCGAGGCGGCGCCUUCAGGUUGACCGCUGUCCCUCUGGCGCGGGGCCGGGCGCUAACGAGCCUCCUAGCCAAUCCAGAGCGCAUUCUUCCCCGGGCUGUCUCCAUGACGACCACCUCAGCUUCUGCUCUGGACUGGAGUUCAGCCCGCUGAAAAGUUCGCGGGUCCAGUGGAGGCCCGGGGCACCGGGGCCGGGCCAGAGGGACCGGCAGUGGCCUCCAGGUGCCUGAGUAGUGCCCCAAAGCCUCGUCACACCCCGCGCCCGUUGGGCAAAAGGCCGCUCCUCCUCUUGGGGAGCAGAUGAUGCGGGACUCAGCAGGAUCUUAUCUCAGCCAGGGCAGAGGGGAAGAGGCCCAUCAUUAACGCCGAAUGCCUUCCAUGUUGCCUGCUUCAUCUUUAACAUCCACGUUGAUUUGGCCUUCGCCUCACAACGUGGAUUUGACCUUCAACUCCUCACCCUGCCUGCUGUGGGUUCAACUUUCUGGCUGGGGCCUCCCCCAUAACACAAGAAUAUCCAAGUUCCAGUCACUUAAAAUGUUCAUAAAAACGUUCCACCCAAUGGUUUCCACGAAAACCGUUGAGAGGAGAUGGGACCCGGGGAAAGUACCUCGCUCAGAUCCGACACUGUUAAGCCAAGAGGACCAGUGAUUCCUGGAGCAAAAGGGAACUCGGGUCCCCUGACUUCCGUGCACUCUCGAGCCAGGAGGACAGGACUGGGGCGCUGAAUGGGGGCUGCGUAGCUUCAGCCCUCUGCUCCAGGUCUCAGGCCGAGCUGUGAGUCGGACGCCGGGGAAGCGAGUCUCAGCGCCCGGUCCUCUUCCUCAAUGCUAUGCCUGGCUCAACCAGUGAAGGUGUGACCUGCGCAGAGGUGAGAACACAUGAAGGCAAAAGUCAGCUGGGUGCUUCGUCCCUGCCUAGGCCUUUUGCUGGAGCUUACGGCCACAGACUCGCCAGCACACACGAUUCCGCACGCGGGGUGUUCUCCGCCCCUCCCCGCCGCCAUCUAGGGAUAACGCAGCCUGGGGAUCCGCUGUUACCAUGGCGACCCGCCGGCUGAUUUAGCCUCUGUUGCCCCCUAGCGGUCAUCUAGGGCAUCUGCAGCUCCAUUAUUUCCCUUGGGCGGCAUGUUCUGCAGCCAGAUCUGUGCCAUCAACCUUGCUAAACAUUAUCCCUAGCUUUGGCUUUAGUGGGCCGGCUCCCUGCCUCGCCUUUCCAACCUUUCCGGCUUCUCUGCACUGGGGCCUGGCUUCUCUGGCUUUGUCACCCAGGCCCAAUAGCCCUAACUACCUACGUCUUCUAGCCAGGGUCCUGGAGACUUAAGAAGGGCUCUCACCCAUGGCUCUUCCAGAGUCCCUCUAGGGAGUGCAAAAGU